GACGAACGCUGGCGGCGUGCUUAACACAUGCAAGUCGAACGAUGAAGCGCUGUCUUUUUGGCGGUGUGGAUUAGUGGCGAACGGGUGAGUAAUACGCGGGCAACCUGCCCCUCUGCUUCGGGAUAAGCUUUGGAAACGGGGUCUAAUAUCGGAUGUGCCUGUCUGGUCGCAUGGCUGGGCGGGGAAAGAUGUUUUUCGGCGGGGGAUGGGCUCGCGGCCUAUCAGCUUGUUGGUGGGGUGACGGCCUACCAAGGCGUCGACGGGUAGCCGGCCUGAGAGGGUGGUCGGCCACACUGGGACUGAGAUACGGCCCAGACUCCUACGGGGGGCAGCAGUGGGGGAUAUUGCACAAUGGGCGCAAGCCUGAUGCAGCGACGCCGCGUGGGGGAUGGAGGCUUUCGGGUUGUAAACCCCUUUCGGCGCGGGACAAGGCUCCGUUUGGCGGGGU
RNAcentral lists this ribosomal RNA (448 nucleotides) under Actinomyces sp. oral taxon 446. Its description in RNAcentral is "bacterial SSU rRNA". It matches the Rfam family "Bacterial small subunit ribosomal RNA", at positions 28 to 467 of the family's 1533-position model. The record is from RNAcentral. Lineage: Bacteria; Bacillati; Actinomycetota; Actinomycetes; Actinomycetales; Actinomycetaceae.